This is a non-coding RNA of Ceratotherium simum simum (southern white rhinoceros), 225 nucleotides long. NCBI's taxonomy places the organism in Eukaryota, Metazoa, Chordata, Mammalia, Perissodactyla, Rhinocerotidae. The record is from RefSeq and is a predicted model, not a curated record.
UCCUUAUAAAGCCAGCAGGUCCUAAUUUCUAGGGUCAGGUAAACUAGCUAAAGCUGAGUUGGAGGAUUGUGAUUGGUGUAGGUUAGGUUUCCUUGACAGAUGUUUCCCAUAAGUGCGGGCUAACUUAGGUUUAGAUUUGUGACAUGGGCUGGGCCACUGGGGGGGGCCUCCAUUUUGUGGGUCCCAAUAUACGAAUUAACGUUAUCAGAGGUAAGGCUGAAGAAA